This 253-nucleotide ribosomal RNA is filed under the name uncultured bacterium. Its description in RNAcentral is "partial 16S ribosomal RNA". It matches the Rfam family "Bacterial small subunit ribosomal RNA", at positions 524 to 776 of the family's 1533-position model. The record is from RNAcentral.
UACAGAGGUCUCAAGCGUUGUUCGGAUUCAUUGGGCGUAAAGGGUGCGUAGGUGGCGCCAUAAGUCGGGUGUGAAAUCUCGGGGCUUAACUCCGAAACUGCAUUCGAUACUGUGGUGCUUGAGGACUGGAGAGGAGACUGGAAUUCAUGGUGUAGCAGUGAAAUGCGUAGAGAUCAUGAGGAAGACCAGUGGCGAAGGCGAGUCUCUGGGAUGAUGCUGACGCUGAGGCGCGAAAGCCAGGGGAGCAAACGGG